This is a long non-coding RNA of Anguilla anguilla (European eel), 703 nucleotides long. RefSeq lists it as uncharacterized. The transcript has 3 exons. The record is from RefSeq and is a predicted model, not a curated record. Lineage: Eukaryota; Metazoa; Chordata; Actinopteri; Anguilliformes; Anguillidae.
AUGGCGAUGGCGGCCGCCGAGAUGUUGUACUCUGUAAGGGACAUCCGCGAGAGAGUGAGACAGAACAGCCAGCGGUGUGACGCACACGCAUGGAACAAUCAACGUGUAUCCCAGAGCGCAUCUUUGGCCACGGGAGGCCGGCUGUCCUCCGUCACUGUGCGACUUAGGGAACCUACGUCAGCUCGUGAGCGCGUGUUCUGUAGACGUUGCAGAGAUUAUUGCGGCCCGUUUCUACACCAGCAGACGAGGCAAAGUUGGCUUUGCGGGAAAACACAAUGAUGCACAGCUGGAUCUGGACAGAAGCGGAACGGUGUGAUUUUGGGCAUCAUCACCCGCAGCUGUUUCGAGUGGCGCCUCCUAACCAUAAGUGACAGUUUUGGGAAACCAACCCUGAAAAGAGUCACAAAAAAAAAAAAUGUAGUGCCGUUUGAAAAGUAUAAAUAUUAUAUUGGUUAUUUGUGCUAAAAAUAGCGGGGGACCAGUUUGGGCAGCAUCUAUUAAUGAGACUUAACAAACUGCUUGAGAAUCCAGAAUUGUAUUGUUUGGCACAGUAACGGAAUAGAAAUGCAGCAGCUACUACAGAGCUAAUCAGACUUAAAUCUCAGACGGAGGAAGAAUUGAUGAUUUCUAAUUAAAAUGUCGAGCAUGCAGACAUCAAUGUCCCGCAUUGAUUCAUCGAGUCACCUCCACUGCAGACGGGGAA